RNAcentral lists this ribosomal RNA (1432 nucleotides) under Arthrobacter sp. DoB18. RNAcentral's name for it is "bacterial SSU rRNA". It matches the Rfam family "Bacterial small subunit ribosomal RNA". The record is from RNAcentral. RNAcentral also lists the same sequence under 1 other name. Lineage: Bacteria; Bacillati; Actinomycetota; Actinomycetes; Micrococcales; Micrococcaceae.
GCAAGUAAGGGCAUGCUUACCAUGCAGUCGAACGAUGAAGCCCUGCUUGCAGGGUGGAUUAGUGGCGAACGGGUGAGUAACACGUGAGUAACCUGCCCCUGACUCUGGGAUAAGCCCGGGAAACUGGGUCUAAUACCGGAUAUGACUUCCUACUGCAUGGUGGGUUGUUGAAAGAUUUAUCGGUGGGGGAUGGACUCGCGGCCUAUCAGCUUGUUGGUGAGGUAAUGGCUCACCAAGGCGACGACGGGUAGCCGGCCUGAGAGGGUGACCGGCCACACUGGGACUGAGACACGGCCCAGACUCCUACGGGAGGCAGCAGUGGGGAAUAUUGCACAAUGGGCGGAAGCCUGAUGCAGCGACGCCGCGUGAGGGAUGACGGCCUUCGGGUUGUAAACCUCUUUCAGUAGGGAAGAAGCGAAAGUGACGGUACCUGCAGAAGAAGCGCCGGCUAACUACGUGCCAGCAGCCGCGGUAAUACGUAGGGCGCAAGCGUUAUCCGGAUUUAUUGGGCGUAAAGAGCUCGUAGGCGGUUUGUCGCGUCUGCCGUGAAAGUCCGAGGCUCAACCUCGGAUCUGCGGUGGGUACGGGCAGACUAGAGUGAUGUAGGGGAGACUGGAAUUCCUGGUGUAGCGGUGAAAUGCGCAGAUAUCAGGAGGAACACCGAUGGCGAAGGCAGGUCUCUGGGCAUUUACUGACGCUGAGGAGCGAAAGCAUGGGGAGCGAACAGGAUUAGAUACCCUGGUAGUCCAUGCCGUAAAACGUUGGGCACUAGGUGUGGGGGACAUUCCACGUUUUCCGCGCCGUAGCUAACGCAUUAAGUGCCCCGCCUGGGAGUACGGCCGCAAGGCUAAAACUCAAGGAAUUGACGGGGGCCCGCACAAGCGGCGGAGCAUGCGGAUUAAUUCGAUGCAACGCGAAGAACCUUACCAAGGCUUGACAUGUGCCAGACCGCUCCAGAGAUGGGGUUUCCCUUCGGGGCUGGUUCACAGGUGGUGCAUGGUUGUCGUCAGCUCGUGUCGUGAGAUGUUGGGUUAAGUCCCGCAACGAGCGCAACCCUCGUUCCAUGUUGCCAGCACGUAGUGGUGGGGACUCAUGGGAGACUGCCGGGGUCAACUCGGAGGAAGGUGGGGAUGACGUCAAAUCAUCAUGCCCCUUAUGUCUUGGGCUUCACGCAUGCUACAAUGGCCGGUACAAUGGGUUGCGAUACUGUGAGGUGGAGCUAAUCCCUAAAAGCCGGUCUCAGUUCGGAUUGGGGUCUGCAACUCGACCCCAUGAAGUCGGAGUCGCUAGUAAUCGCAGAUCAGCAACGCUGCGGUGAAUACGUUCCCGGGCCUUGUACACACCGCCCGUCAAGUCACGAAAGUUGGUAACACCCGAAGCCGAUGGCCUAACCACCUUGUGUGGGGGGAGUCGUCGAAGGUGGACCCCAAUG